ACUUCUCAAAUCUUUAAUGGUUGUUAUGACUAUUGAAGGCUUUGGAUGUGGAGGGUUUUGCUGGCCUUUCUAUAGAUCAGCUCCUCUUAAAAGCAUUAGUGGUUACUGUUCUCCACUUUGGUGUGAUAAUUAUCUACGUCUAUAAGUGAAGAUGUUAAGUGUAGCUGCUUUCAAACUGUCCAUGUUAACUUGGACAAUCUUUGAACUGU
This 209-nucleotide unclassified non-coding RNA is filed under the name uncultured Agaricales. RNAcentral's name for it is "sequence contains ITS2". Lineage: Eukaryota; Fungi; Basidiomycota; Agaricomycetes; Agaricales. The record is from RNAcentral.